This 582-nucleotide ribosomal RNA is filed under the name uncultured bacterium. RNAcentral's name for it is "bacterial SSU rRNA". It matches the Rfam family "Bacterial small subunit ribosomal RNA", at positions 96 to 692 of the family's 1533-position model. The record is from RNAcentral.
UGGCGGACGGGUGAGUAACGCGUGAGGAACCUGCCUUGGAGAGGGGAAUAACACUCCGAAAGGAGUGCUAAUACCGCAUGAUGCAGUUGGGUCGCAUGGCUCUGACUGCCAAAGAUUUAUCGCUCUGAGAUGGCCUCGCGUCUGAUUAGCUAGUAGGCGGGGUAACGGCCCACCUAGGCGACGAUCAGUAGCCGGACUGAGAGGUUGACCGGCCACAUUGGGACUGAGACACGGCCCAGACUCCUACGGGAGGCAGCAGUGGGGAAUAUUGGGCAAUGGGCGCAAGCCUGACCCAGCAACGCCGCGUGAAGGAAGAAGGCUUUCGGGUUGUAAACUUCUUUUGUCGGGGACGAAACAAAUGACGGUACCCGACGAAUAAGCCACGGCUAACUACGUGCCAGCGGCCGCGGUAAUACGUAGGUGGCAAGCGUUAUCCGGAUUUACUGGGUGUAAAGGGCGUGUAGGCGGGAUUGCAAGUCAGAUGUGAAAACUGGGGGCUCAACCUCCAGCCUGCAUUUGAAACUGUAGUUCUUGAGUGCUGGAGAGGCAAUCGGAAUUCCGUGUGUAGCGGUGAAAUGCGUA